GGGGGCGAUUAGGAUUCGACGCCGGUGUCAAAACCCAAGGUGCAUGUCGUGAUGGUAGCGAAUCACGUUAAUCCAAAGCUGCAUACUAUUAGUUGCCAAUGAUGACAACUAUGGUGCACAACUAGCCGCGUAAGCAGCUUUUUGAGGCAUCAUCUAGCGACAUAGUUCGCUAGCAGGCUUUAGCAAGGUGCCAGUAUCGCGCUACUGACUGUCAUAUAGAACUGGAUCGCUACAUCCGCAUGUCUGGAGUGGAUGAGCUAAAAUUCACAGAAUCGCUGAUUACGUCUUGCCCGUUGGGCUGUAAUUGGUUAAAUCAAUUAACGGAUCUAAACAUGUAGAGCCGCGGGCAGAGAGCUGGCGGACGGGGGUUCAAAUCCCCCCGCCUCCACCA
This 391-nucleotide transfer-messenger RNA is filed under the name Cellvibrionaceae. RNAcentral describes it as "UBA1124 sp002313265 Standard tmRNA". It matches the Rfam family "transfer-messenger RNA". From Rfam's summary of the family: Bacterial tmRNA, also known as 10Sa RNA or SsrA, is named for its dual tRNA and mRNA-like properties. Its role is to liberate the mRNA from a stalled ribosome. To accomplish this part of the tmRNA is used as a reading frame that ends in a translation stop signal. The record is from RNAcentral. Lineage: Bacteria; Pseudomonadati; Pseudomonadota; Gammaproteobacteria; Cellvibrionales. RNAcentral also lists the same sequence under 1 other name.